RNAcentral lists this unclassified non-coding RNA (214 nucleotides) under uncultured Strobilomyces. Its description in RNAcentral is "sequence contains ITS2". Lineage: Eukaryota; Fungi; Basidiomycota; Agaricomycetes; Boletales; Boletaceae. The record is from RNAcentral.
GAAUUCUCAACCAUGGGCGGCGCCCAUUGGCUUGGACUUGGGAGCUGCUGGCGUCGCAAGACGUCGGCUCUCCUCAAACGCAUUAGCGGACCCGCGUGCACGGCCUCGUUCGACGUGAUAACGAUCGUCGUCUCGGGCUGGAGCGUCUCUGCUUCCAACCCCCCCCCCCCUCAGCUACUAGUCCCUCCGGGGCGAACGCGAGCGGCCUGCUUCC